GCCUCCGGAAGGUUAGUGGUUAGAGUUCUAGUCUGGUAGACCGGAGGUGGUGGGUUCGAUUCCCACCUGAGGCA
Molecule: non-coding RNA, 74 nt
Organism: Lucilia cuprina (Australian sheep blowfly)
Lineage: Eukaryota; Metazoa; Arthropoda; Insecta; Diptera; Calliphoridae
Source: Rfam